RNAcentral lists this ribosomal RNA (234 nucleotides) under Triticum aestivum (bread wheat). RNAcentral describes it as "partial small subunit ribosomal RNA". Lineage: Eukaryota; Viridiplantae; Streptophyta; Magnoliopsida; Poales; Poaceae. The record is from RNAcentral.
AUGGCGCCGCCCGGGUCGCGCCGAUGGGCGUACGUGCGGAUCAUGGCCGGCACCAUCCUCGGCGGCGGCCUCGGCUUCUACGUCAUGCACCGCAUCGAGACCUCCUACAAGGUGAGGAUGGAGGAGAGGCUGCGGAGGUACGAGGCGCACACGCUCGCCAAGGAGAAGGAGGCGCAGCAGCUCCAGGACGAGGGGCGCCGCGAGGACCAGGCGCAGGUCUUGCCGGACUCGUGA